RNAcentral lists this ribosomal RNA (466 nucleotides) under uncultured bacterium. Its description in RNAcentral is "bacterial SSU rRNA". It matches the Rfam family "Bacterial small subunit ribosomal RNA", at positions 439 to 906 of the family's 1533-position model. The record is from RNAcentral.
ACGGGGAAAAAACGGCUCCACGUGUGGAGGGUUGACGGUACCGGAUGAAUAAGCACCGGCUAACUUCGUGCCAGCAGCCGCGGUAAUACGAAGGGUGCGAGCGUUAUCCGGAUUCAUUGGGUUUAAAGGGUGCGUAGGCGGGGCAUUAAGUCAGUGGUGAAAGCCCGCCGCUUAACUGUGGAAUUGCCAUUGAUACUGGUGCUCUUGAAUUCGCUUGAAGUGGGCGGAAUGUGCCGUGUAGCGGUGAAAUGCUUAGAUAUGGCACAGAACCCCGAUAGCGUAGGCAGCUCACUAAGGCGAUACUGACGCUGAGGCACGAAAGCGUGGGGAGCGAACAGGAUUAGAUACCCUGGUAGUCCACGCCGUAAACGAUGAUCACUCGUGAUUGGCGAUAUACGGUCAGUCACCUAACGAAAGCGUUAAGUGAUCCACCUGGGGAGUACGACCGCAAGGUUGAAACUCAAAG